GAUGGAGAGUUUGAUCCUGGCUCAGGACGAACGUUGGCGGCGCGCCUGACCCAUGCAAGUCGUGCGACGGACCUUCUGGGGUUACCCGGGAGGUUACGGAGCGGCGGACGGCCGAGUAACGCGUAAGCAACCUACCCCUCGGAGGGGGAUAACCCUCUGAAAAGGGGGCUAAUACCCCAUACGCUUAGGGAGGCGCAUGCCUCCUUAAGGAAAGGGAGGAAACUCCCGCCGAGGGAGGGGCUUGCGUCCUAUCAGCUAGUUGGUGAGGUAACGGCUCACCAAGGCGAUGACGGGUAGCUGGCCUGAGAGGGUGGUCAGCCGGACUGGGACUGAGACACGGCCCAGACUCCUACGGGAGGCAGCAGGGCGGAAUCUUGCGCAAUGCCCGAAAGGGUGACGCAGCGACGCCGCGUGAGGGAUGAAGCCCUUCGGGGUGUAAACCUCUUUUGCAGGGGAAGAAACCUGACGGUACCCUGCGAAUAAGUCCCGGCCAAUUACGUGCCAGCAGCCGCGGUAAAACGUGAGGGGCGAACGUUGUCCGGAAUCACUGGGCGUAAAGGGUACGCAGGCGGUGGAGAAAGUCGGGUGUGAAAGCCUCAGGCUUAACCUGAGGAGGACGCUCGAUACUUCUCCACUUGAGGAAGGGAGAGGGAGGUGGAAUUCCCGGUGUAGCGGUGAAAUGCGCAGAUAUCGGGAGGAACACCAGUGGCGAAGGCGGCCUCCUAUCCCUUUCCUGACGCUCAGGUACGAAAGCUAGGGGAGCGAACCGGAUUAGAUACCCGGGUAGUCCUAGCCGUAAACGAUGGGUGCUAGGUGUUGGGGAGUUAAACUCCUCAAUGCCGAAGCUAACGCAUUAAGCACCCCGCCUGGGGAGUACGACCGCAAGGUUGAAACUCAAAGGAAUUGACGGGGGCCCGCACAAGCGGUGGAGCAUGUUGUUUAAUUCGAUGCUAACCGAAGAACCUUACCAGGGCUUGACAUGCUGGUGGUAGCGAGCCGAAAGGUAAGCGACCCUAACCCUUUUUGGGUUAGGGAGCCAGCACAGGUGCUGCACGGCUGUCGUCAGCUCGUGCCGUGAGGUGUCGGGUUAAGUCCCUCAACGAGCGCAACCCCCACCCUUAGUUGCCAUCGGGUAAUGCCGGGCACUCUAAGGGGACUGCCAGGGUCAACCUGGAGGAAGGUGGGGAUGACGUCAAGUCCGCGUGGUCCUUAUGUCCUGGGCUACAAACAUGCUACAAUGGGAUGUACAGAGGGAAGCAAUGCCGCGAGGCGGAGCUAAUCCCUAAAGCAUCCCCUAGUUCAGAUUGCAGGCUGCAACUCGCCUGCAUGAAGACGGAAUCGCUAGUAACCGCCGGUCAGCCAAACGGCGGUGAAUACGUUCCCGGGCCUUGUACACACCGCCCGUCAACUCAUCCGAGUCGGGGGUACCCGAAGUCACUGGCCCAACCGCCUCUGGCGGAGGGAGGUGCCGAAGGUAUCCUCGGUGAGGAGGAGUAAGUCGUAACAAGGUAGCCGUAGCGGAAGCUGCGGCUGGAUCACCUCCUUUCU
This 1548-nucleotide ribosomal RNA is filed under the name bacterium. RNAcentral describes it as "bacterial SSU rRNA". It matches the Rfam family "Bacterial small subunit ribosomal RNA". The record is from RNAcentral.